AAUUAUGAAUCUGUAACUUUAAAGAAUGAAAAAAUCUUUUUUUUAAUUACUUACUUAAUCAAAAAAAGGCGUUUUCCAAUCGAUGAAUGAAAACAAUUGCGUCAUACAGUUGGUGCGUAUGAACCACUCUCGCGAUAUGAGAAGUAAGAAACACAUGUGGAGAUGAAAAGUGGAACAGACUCGCCUUCUGUUUGCAACAAAAGACCAACAACUUCCUGUGUGAUAUUCAGACAAAACAGCCAACGACAGACAUCCGGAGAAAAGUCACGUGAUGGCUACGAAUACUUAUGAGAUCAGAUCUACAAUAUUAAGAUUUACACCCACUGAAAUGAAACUCUCAAACAUCCAGCUAUGAAAGACCAUGUAAAAAAAACCUGGUAUGGUUUAUUUAAAAAAAAAAAGUUAAACAUAUUCGCCACACACAGGCUUCCGACAGACGAAAAAGACACUAUCGUAUUCGUAUUUGAGCAUGGAGCGGACGUUUUGAGAGUAGGUGGUUUUCACCCCAGUUCGCUCUUUCUGCCGAAUCAAAAUGAAAAGUUUAUAUACGAAAACAAUGAAUUCGAUUUUAUGCAGAAUUACCUCAAUUACAAAGCCUAUCCCUUGCACGAUUUCUCUAACCAUUUCGUAGGUUGGCUCGAUGGAAUUUUCGCCAGGGAUGUCCGAAUAAUGGUAGAGCAACGGCCCUAAAUUGAUCCAAACGCCACCUGUUGAAAAUCCAAUAAUUAAAUUAGCAUGAUGGAUUGCGCUUGAUUGAAAUUUUUUGGAAACAAACCGCUCUUGAGUAUUUUGUAAAUAGUUUCGAUGAAGCUGACGAUGUUGUUGGCGCAAUCUAUAAAGAAACACGUAGCUAUACAGUC
Daphnia pulicaria is the source of this 860-nucleotide long non-coding RNA. RefSeq lists it as uncharacterized. The transcript is spliced from 2 exons. The record is from RefSeq and is a predicted model, not a curated record. NCBI's taxonomy places the organism in Eukaryota, Metazoa, Arthropoda, Branchiopoda, Diplostraca, Daphniidae.